GGGUUGUGAGGUUAAGCGACUAAGCGUACACGGUGGAUGCCCUGGCAGUCAGAGGCGAUGAAGGACGUGCUAAUCUGCGAUAAGCGUCGGUGAGGUGAUAUGAACCGUUAUAACCGGCGAUUUCCGAAUGGGGAAACCCAGUGUGUUUCGACACACUAUCAUUAACUGAAUCCAUAGGUUAAUGAGGCGAACCGGGGGAACUGAAACAUCUAAGUACCCCGAGGAAAAGAAAUCAACCGAGAUUCCCCCAGUAGCGGCGAGCGAACGGGGAGGAGCCCAGAGCCUGAAUCAGUGUGUGUGUUAGUGGAAGCGUCUGGAAAGGCGCGCGAUACAGGGUGACAGCCCCGUACACAAAAAUGCACAUAUUGUGAGCUCGAUGAGUAGGGCGGGACACGUGGUAUCCUGUCUGAAUAUGGGGGGACCAUCCUCCAAGGCUAAAUACUCCUGACUGACCGAUAGUGAACCAGUACCGUGAGGGAAAGGCGAAAAGAACCCCGGCGAGGGGAGUGAAAAAGAACCUGAAACCGUGUACGUACAAGCAGUGGGAGCCUCUUAAUGGGGUGACUGCGUACCUUUUGUAUAAUGGGUCAGCGACUUAUAUUCUGUAGCAAGGUUAACCGAAUAGGGGAGCCGAAGGGAAACCGAGUCUUAACUGGGCGUUAAGUUGCAGGGUAUAGACCCGAAACCCGGUGAUCUAGCCAUGGGCAGGUUGAAGGUUGGGUAACACUAACUGGAGGACCGAACCGACUAAUGUUGAAAAAUUAGCGGAUGACUUGUGGCUGGGGGUGAAAGGCCAAUCAAACCGGGAGAUAGCUGGUUCUCCCCGAAAGCUAUUUAGGUAGCGCCUCGUGAAUUCAUCUCCGGGGGUAGAGCACUGUUUCGGCAAGGGGGUCAUCCCGACUUACCAACCCGAUGCAAACUGCGAAUACCGGAGAAUGUUAUCACGGGAGACACACGGCGGGUGCUAACGUCCGUCGUGAAGAGGGAAACAACCCAGACCGCCAGCUAAGGUCCCAAAGUCAUGGUUAAGUGGGAAACGAUGUGGGAAGGCCCAGACAGCCAGGAUGUUGGCUUAGAAGCAGCCAUCAUUUAAAGAAAGCGUAA
Molecule: ribosomal RNA, 1104 nt
Filed under: Escherichia coli
Lineage: Bacteria; Pseudomonadati; Pseudomonadota; Gammaproteobacteria; Enterobacterales; Enterobacteriaceae
Description: partial 23S ribosomal RNA
Rfam family: Bacterial large subunit ribosomal RNA
Source: RNAcentral